RNAcentral lists this non-coding RNA (86 nucleotides) under Pelomonas sp. Root1444. Its description in RNAcentral is "c-di-GMP-I riboswitch aptamer". It matches the Rfam family "c-di-GMP-I riboswitch aptamer". Rfam says of the family: GEMM was predicted in a large-scale screen for bacterial structured RNA regulatory elements. Genes associated with GEMM are involved in a diverse array of functions, including chemotaxis regulation, signal transduction, secretion and chitin. RNAcentral also lists the same sequence under 1 other name. Lineage: Bacteria; Pseudomonadati; Pseudomonadota; Betaproteobacteria; Burkholderiales; Sphaerotilaceae. The record is from Rfam by way of RNAcentral.
UGAUGACAAAGGCACACCCGAGCGAAAGCCGGGGUCGCAAAGCUUCCGGUCUACAGCCUUAGGGCCAUGACAGCGGGGUUGCCCCA